GAACACUGGGUCUCAUUAUCAAAUGGGAUUUUAGGAAGCGAGGAAUCAAUAAACUAUUUUGAUAAAGAACCCUGGUGUACUAGGGUCUGUGUUUGUUGUGUUUUUUGUUAGAUGAUUGAGGACAUUCUCCAGAGCAAAGCUGGAGGGGAAAGGAUCAUGAACGAGUAUGCUCAGACAAAAAGCUUGAAUUACCGCACCAGACGUGAUAUGAUCAAGAUUUUGGUUGCAAAUAUGACAGAGGAUCAUGGAACAAGUCCCCCACGACAUGGGAAGGAGGAGGCAUAUUCAACAGGAAUAGUUUCCUUUUUCCCCUAUCUGGCUGACCGCAAAAGCAAGACAGACUGCCCACCAUUAUAAUGCAGAAGACUGGAGUGGCUACUUGGUAUGGCGACUGAAGCACCUGCAAAAGGAGGCUGCAGAGUGAAGAAUACAUUCACUAGCGGGUGGACCAGCUGUAGACAGAGACCCCUUCACGGACGAAGACUGCUGAGUGAAGAAGGGCAGUGCUGAGAGCCAUCGCACUGAUGAAACACACGUCUGAUGAAGCAACCAUAGAGCAAGAUUUUGGAAUGAUGUUUGGUGAUGCAACUUCCACAAAAUUCCUGAAUAAAUGGCCUACUGUCUUCAAACAGAAGGUCAUCCUGCAGAGCCAUGAACUCCCACUAAAAACUGAGGUUCAGGACCUGAUACACAAUGCUGAGUCCGCAGCGGAGGUGGAUAAUGGCAGGGACCAGCAUCCUCUAAUGCCAUCACCGGAAGUCAACAGUCCUAUCUGUUUGCCAUGGGGACCCAGAGAACGAGCAUUCACGCCUACUUCCUUGUGAUUGACAAACAUGCGGUACCUUGUAAGGCAUCUGGCUCACUGGGCUGUUUUAAUGAGCUUUUGAAAGCUUGUGUCUGUCUUUACAGGAAUCUGGAAACAAUAAAUGUUGGGUGUAAAAUAGAUCAGUGUUUUGGGCAAAUUGAAAAUCCUUUCAGUGGACUGAAACCAAAAGGUUGAAAUAUUUCUCAGAGAAGUGGGGAACUGUAGAUCCAGUUGAACAUGUUAUUGGCACAAGAUUUGACAUGUGACACAAUAGAACCACUGAAACAUAUAGUAUGAC
This 1103-nucleotide long non-coding RNA is filed under the name Salmo salar (Atlantic salmon). RNAcentral describes it as "lncRNA (ENSSSAG00000094696.1)". The record is from RNAcentral. Lineage: Eukaryota; Metazoa; Chordata; Actinopteri; Salmoniformes; Salmonidae.